CAGCAGCCACGGUAAUACGUAGGGUGCAAGCGUUAAUCGGAAUUACUGGGCGUAAAGCGUGCGCAGGCGGUGUUGUAAGACUGAUGUGAAAUCCCCGGGCUCAACCUGGGAACUGCAUUGGUGACUGCAACGCUGGAGUGCAGCAGAGGGGGAUGGAAUUCCGCGUGUAGCAGUGAAAUGCGUAGAUAUGCGGAGGAACACCGAUGGCGAAGGCAAUCCCCUGGGCCUGCACUGACGCUCAUGCACGAAAGCGUGGGGAGCAAACAGGAUUAGAUACCCCCGUAGUCCCUGUCUCUUAUAC
RNAcentral lists this ribosomal RNA (301 nucleotides) under uncultured bacterium. Its description in RNAcentral is "partial 16S ribosomal RNA". It matches the Rfam family "Bacterial small subunit ribosomal RNA", at positions 509 to 807 of the family's 1533-position model. The record is from RNAcentral.